GCGCGAAAACUUUACAAUGCUGGCAACAGCGAUAAGGGAACCUCGAGUGCCAGGUUACAAAUCUGGCUGUCGAGAUGCCUAAAAAGCAUUUCAUAGCAAGGGCCGGGCAAGACCGGUGCCAGCCGCCGCGGUAACACCGGCGGCUCGAGUGGUAACCGUUAUUAUUGGGUCUAAAGGGUCUGUAGCCGGCCGGAUAAGUCUCUUGGGAAAUCUGGCAGCUCAACUGUCAGGCUUUCAGGAGAUACUGUCUGGCUCGAGGCCGGGAGAGGUGAGAGGUACUUCAGGGGUAGGGGUGAAAUCUUGUAAUCCUUGAAGGACCACCAGUGGCGAAGGCGUCUCACCAGAACGGACCUGACGGCAAGGGACGAAAGCUAGGGGCACGAACCG
RNAcentral lists this ribosomal RNA (387 nucleotides) under uncultured bacterium. RNAcentral describes it as "bacterial SSU rRNA". It matches the Rfam family "Archaeal small subunit ribosomal RNA", at positions 339 to 726 of the family's 1478-position model. The record is from RNAcentral.